GUUGGGGGUGAUCCGCAGGAAGGAGGCGAAAAUGGUCUCCACGUGGCAGUUAUGGCCGAUAAGAGGGUAGGGGCUGUAGGGACGAUUUAACGUCUUUAAGGCAGGGAGGAAAACGUCACGUGCACCACCAAUGACGUCGAGUGAAGGAUGCGGAGUUUUAUCGUCGGCCAUUUGGGUGGCUAUAGCUGCGUUGUGGAUGGCGGAGAAGGGGUGGAGCGAGGGAGCCGGGCGACGGAAGAGGGAGAGAG
RNAcentral lists this unclassified non-coding RNA (248 nucleotides) under Hevea brasiliensis (rubber tree). The record is from RNAcentral. Lineage: Eukaryota; Viridiplantae; Streptophyta; Magnoliopsida; Malpighiales; Euphorbiaceae.